This 765-nucleotide long non-coding RNA is filed under the name Heterocephalus glaber (naked mole-rat). RNAcentral's name for it is "lncRNA (ENSHGLG00100045347.1)". The record is from RNAcentral. Lineage: Eukaryota; Metazoa; Chordata; Mammalia; Rodentia; Bathyergidae.
CAGCACCAGAUGUUUUACAUAGGUUUCUCUUUUCAUUUUAAUCUUCAAACUACUGGAGGUCUGAAUAGCUAUCUCCACUUUGCAGAGGCAGUGAAAGCCCCACAAGGGGACAAUGGCAUGCAAGGGGCCACGUGGCUUCUCCUCAGCAUCCUAGCUCCAACCACCAUGGCUCCAGAUCUAGCUCUUCCUUCCCCAGGCAGUCUCUUGGGGUGCGGCAGCCCUCCCUCAGAGUCAGAGAGAAGAGCUUUAUUGUUACCACAACACUGGGGUCAUGGCCCACGGUGACGCAGAGCGAAACCAAGGACAGUGGAUGCAAGAUCCAGGCAAAUUUAUUUAAAAGAUGUAAAGGCAAGAAGCUUAUUUGACAAAUGAGGAAACUGAAGUCCAAAUAAACAGUCAUCACUGGCCCGUGGUGAUCCGAGACUAUACUCCCUGCACUGAGGGAGGCUGAGGAAGGAGGAUGGUUAGGACAGUGGUGUGCCAGCAAGGCUCUGAAGCAGCUUUCCCGGACCAAGGACUGAGAAAGACAGGGCAAUGAGACGGAGGGAGCCUUGGUAUCCAAAACCAUCAAACUGUCCAGGAGCCCUGAACAGCUUCAGUUACUGCUGUUUCCCGAGGGAGGAAGGCUCUACUGUUGUGCGGAAGCCAGAGUGAUCAUGUCUUUUGUACCACUUCACUUUGCACUGUUGCUAAACAUUCUUUAAGGCCCACCUGAAGGCCACCUACUCCCUGAAGUCUCGCCUGAUUACAUCCAUGAUCUCUGCC